GCCCCUCGCAAACAGCUGACAUUAUCUCCUGGAGUCACUGUGAAUCAGCAGGGGGAGGUGGGAAGGAAGCGGAUAGGACCGUGUGCUCACUGCAGCGCUCUGCUCAAGGGCACACUUCAGUCUCCCGUCCGCGCUCGUCUGUCAGUCGCCGCUCGGCCCUCGCUUCCUGACGGGACCGGCCAUAAAAGUUCACACAUCAACACGCCGCAGCGAUCACACAGGCGCAGCCGUGGUGAAUCAGCCUCAACCGGCGCUGGAGCCAGGUUGGUGAACCCUGUGAUCAUAGGGAGGAGAAAACCACAUGUACUGAGUCAAACAGGACCGCUUCCACUUUAUCUGGUCCCCCAGUGUGUGUGUGUGUGUGUGUGUGUGUGUGUGUGUGUGUGUGUGUGUGCACUGAAACAGAUUUAAAUUUGUCUGAGGAGCAUGGAGGUGGAUCUUCUGCAGACAUGCCCAGGCAGUGACUCAGUGUGGAACCGGGCGUCUGCAUUUGCUAAAGGAGGAUCAGGCGUGUCCAUGAGUGCUUGUGGCAAAGCGCAGCACAUCCGGAGAGAGUGGGACCGCGUGAUGGGAUUUCUGGAGUGAGAUGGAGCAGUGCAGCCUUGGGGUCAUGGGUGUGACGGAACAGCAGGUGGAAGGACCAGAAAGGCCCGGAGUCGGUAGUCGUGUCGGGGCACGAGGCUGUGAGUCACAGCACACAAAGCAGAGGCCGAUACAGAACAAGUGGAUUCAUGGAGUCACAGUAGAAAAUAAAUGUCAGAGGUUAAUAAUAUAUCUACUAAGUUAUUUGGGAAUACUG
This is a long non-coding RNA of Betta splendens (Siamese fighting fish), 799 nucleotides long. RefSeq lists it as uncharacterized. The transcript is spliced from 3 exons. The record is from RefSeq and is a predicted model, not a curated record. NCBI's taxonomy places the organism in Eukaryota, Metazoa, Chordata, Actinopteri, Anabantiformes, Osphronemidae.